GGGAUUGCCCUAGUAACGGCGAGUGAAGCGGCAACAGCUCAAAUUUGAAAUCUGGCGCAAGCCCGAGUUGUAAUUUGUAGAGGAUGCUUCGGGGCAGCGACCGGUCUAAGUUCCUUGGAACAGGACGUCAGAGAGGGUGAGAAUCCCGUAUGUGACCGGCCCGCGCCCUGCACGUAGCUCCUUCGACGAGUCGAGUUGUUUGGGAAUGCAGCUCUAAAUGGGAGGUAAAUUUCUUCUAAAGCUAAAUACCGGCCAGAGACCGAUAGCGCACAAGUAGAGUGAUCGAAAGAUGAAAAGUACUUUGGAAAGAGAGUUAAAAAGCACGUGAAAUUGUUGAAAGGGAAGCGCCUGCAACCAGACUUCGCGGCAGUGUUCCGCCGGUCUUCUGACCGGUUCAUUCUCUGCCGCGAGGCCAUCAUCGUCUGGGCCCGCCGGAUAAGACCUUGGGAAUGUAGCUCACCUCCGGGGGAGUGUUAUAGCCCAGGGUGAUGCGGCGCGGCUCGGGCGAGGUCCGCGCUUCGGCAAGGAUGAUGGCGUAAUGGUUGUCGGCGGCCCGUCUUGAAACACGGACCAAGGAGUCUAACAUCUAUGCGAGUGUUCGGGUGUCAAACCCCUACGCGUAAUGAAAGUGAACGGAGGUGGGAACCGCAAGGUGCACCAUCGACCGAUCCUGAUGUCCUCGGAUGGAUUUGAGUAAGAGCAUAGCUGUUGGGACCCGAAAGAUGGUGAACUAUGCCUGAAUAGGGUGAAGCCAGAGGAAACUCUGGUGGAGGCUCGCAGCGGUUCUGACGUGCAAAUCGAUCGUCAAAUUUGGGUAUAGGGGCG
RNAcentral lists this ribosomal RNA (825 nucleotides) under Pseudocercospora pyracanthigena. RNAcentral's name for it is "eukaryotic LSU rRNA". It matches the Rfam family "Eukaryotic large subunit ribosomal RNA", at positions 71 to 925 of the family's 3401-position model. The record is from RNAcentral. RNAcentral also lists the same sequence under 1 other name. Lineage: Eukaryota; Fungi; Ascomycota; Dothideomycetes; Mycosphaerellales; Mycosphaerellaceae.